AACUAUAAACCAACAAAAAUAGAUAUGGUAACAACUCUUAAAUAAUCAACUUUGAAUCAUGUGGGCAAGUCAUCCAAAGAUUCAUUAUUGUGUAAAAUACUUACCCAACGAUAUAAGGACAGUGGAGAUGAAAACUCCAAUCACCCCAAAAGACAUGAAUAACAUGAUGGUUAAAAAAGUUGUGAAAACUUACAGAACUCUAGUUUCUAUAGCCUGCAAAUUAACAACAAUUUGUAACAUGAGAAAGACAUUUGUACCAUGAAAAAUAGAUUGGUGAAGGAAACACGCCGAUUUGGUGAAGGAAAAUGUCCGAUGGGGUGAAGAAAAGUCAUGCAUUUUCUUAACAUUAAUCGGCCAUUAGAUGUACCAAACUCACCGAUCGUACCCCACGUCAGUGGAGAUAAUGAUCACGCCAAAUCGAGGAUUCAGAGGUCAAAAGUUUGUCAUUGUUUGCUUCCGAUGUCAGUGAAAUCUCACCAGAUUUUGCAAUCGUCCUGAUGAGAGAAAGAGCGAAAGAGAUGAUGAAACAACCAUUAGAGAAAAACACGCGACAGAAGUUUUUCCUUUGCAUCUAGUAUGCUUGGUUCUAAGGAAAAAAAUAAUCGUUGUAGGGUCGCCGAGCUUAUAUAAUACAAGGUCGGGGCAGGCAGAAAUCAUGCCCAUUAAUAGAUUAGGUAGAUUAUAAUUUUCUUAUUUAACUAAACAAUAUAGAAGAGUUUCGCUCUCUCGGCUGCUGUCUUACAAGUUAUAACAUAGGUAAGACAAGAAGUUGGUUUAAAAUAUAAGGGUUUCAUAUUUUAAUUGGGGAGGAUUUUUGUUAAACGUCUGUAGUUAUUUGCCAAACUUUACAGUGUUUAUGCUUAAGCUAAAUGGAAAACUAAUAUAGCAUAUUUAAAUUAUUUUGGUCUCUACUUUAUUUAUGAUAAAACUAAAGUAUUUUUGGGACUUUGUGAAACCUCGAUAUUUAAAUGGUAUUUUCCCUUUUCUAAAAAUAUAUCUGAAGUAUGACACAAUUUUAUUUCACAUAU
Molecule: small RNA, 1028 nt
Filed under: Arabidopsis thaliana (thale cress)
Lineage: Eukaryota; Viridiplantae; Streptophyta; Magnoliopsida; Brassicales; Brassicaceae
Description: ATSL080990
Source: RNAcentral